Molecule: ribosomal RNA, 442 nt
Filed under: uncultured bacterium
Lineage: Bacteria
Description: partial 16S ribosomal RNA
Rfam family: Bacterial small subunit ribosomal RNA
Source: RNAcentral
CCUACGGGAGGCAGCAGUAGGGAAUCUUUCACAAUGGGCGCAAGCCUGAUGGAGCAACGCCGCGUGCAGGAUGAAGGCCUUCGGGUUGUAAACUGCUUUUAUAAGCGAGAAAUAUGAUGGUAACUUAUGAAUAAGGAACGGCUAACUACGUGCCAGCAGCCGCAGUCAUACGUAGGAUCCGAGCAUUAUCCGGAGUGACUGGGUGUAAAGAGUUGCGUAGGUGGCAUAAUAAGUAGCUAGGGAAAUCUGGUGGCUCAACCAUUCAGACUAUUAGCUAAACUGGUAAGCUCGAGACCGUUAGGGGCAUGUGGAAUUUGUAGUGUAGGAGUGAAAUCCGUAGAUAUUAGAAGGAACACCAAUAGCGUAGGCAGGAUGCUGGGACGGUUCUGACACUAAGGCACGAAAGCGUAGGGAGCAAACGGGAUUAGAUACCCCAGUAGUC